This 73-nucleotide transfer RNA is filed under the name Bos indicus x Bos taurus (hybrid cattle). It matches the Rfam family "tRNA". Rfam says of the family: Transfer RNA (tRNA) molecules are approximately 80 nucleotides in length. The record is from Rfam by way of RNAcentral. Lineage: Eukaryota; Metazoa; Chordata; Mammalia; Artiodactyla; Bovidae.
UCCCUGGUGGCCCAGUGGUUAAGAGCUUGUACUUCCAAUGCAGAGGACACAGGUUUCAUCCCUGGUCAGGGAA